CGCAGAGUAACGCGCACAGAUAGACCAUCUCACGGUAUCGAGUGUGCGCGGUAAUGCGGCGGUAGUCGUUACAAGCCGAC
Molecule: non-coding RNA, 80 nt
Filed under: unclassified sequences
Source: RNAcentral